GGGUGCUUCUUUUAAGGAGAAGGCGCAGUGAAAAGGCCCAAGCGACUGUUUAGCAAAAACACAGGUCUCUGCAAAGCCGUAAGGCGAAGUAUAGGGGCUGACACCUGCCCGGUGCUGGAAGGUUAAGGGGAAUGGUUAGGGACUUCGUCCCGAAGCUGUGAACCGAAGCCCCAGUAAACGGCGGCCGUAACUAUAACGGUCCUAAGGUAGCGAAAUUCCUUGUCAGGUAAGU
This 232-nucleotide ribosomal RNA is filed under the name Terribacillus saccharophilus. RNAcentral describes it as "partial 23S ribosomal RNA". It matches the Rfam family "Bacterial large subunit ribosomal RNA", at positions 1746 to 1981 of the family's 2925-position model. Lineage: Bacteria; Bacillati; Bacillota; Bacilli; Caryophanales; Bacillaceae. The record is from RNAcentral.